RNAcentral lists this ribosomal RNA (253 nucleotides) under uncultured bacterium. RNAcentral describes it as "partial 16S ribosomal RNA". It matches the Rfam family "Bacterial small subunit ribosomal RNA", at positions 524 to 776 of the family's 1533-position model. The record is from RNAcentral.
UACGUAGGGUGCGAGCGUUAAUCGGAAUUACUGGGCGUAAAGCGUGCGCAGGCGGUUCGUCGUGUCCGAUGUGAAAGCCCCGGGCUCAACCUGGGAAUGGCAUUGGAAACUGGCGGACUCGAGUGUGGCAGAGGGGGGUGGAAUUCCGCGUGUAGCAGUGAAAUGCGUAGAGAUGCGGAGGAACACCGAUGGCGAAGGCGGCUCACUGGUCCAUUACUGACGCUGAGGUGCGAAAGCGUGGGGAGCAAACAGG